RNAcentral lists this ribosomal RNA (497 nucleotides) under uncultured bacterium. RNAcentral describes it as "partial 16S ribosomal RNA". It matches the Rfam family "Bacterial small subunit ribosomal RNA", at positions 30 to 523 of the family's 1533-position model. The record is from RNAcentral.
AUUGAACGCUGGCGGAAUGCUUUACACAUGCAAGUCGAGCGGUAGCGCGGGGCAACCUGGCGGCGAGCGGCGAACGGGUGAGUAAUGUAUCGGAACGUGCCCUGUCGUGGGGAUAGCCCGGUGAAAACCUGAUUAAUACCGCAUACGACCGAGGGACGAACGUGGGGGACCGCAAUGCCUCCCGCGAUCGGAGCGGCCGAUAUCUGAUUAGCUAGUUGGUGGGGUAAAGGCCCACCAAGGCUUCGAUCAGUAGCUGGUCUGAGAGGAUGAUCAGCCACACUGGGACUGAGACACGGCCCAGACUCCUACGGGAGGCAGCAGUGGGGAAUUUUGGACAAUGGGGGCAACCCUGAUCCAGCCAUUCCGCGUGAGUGAAGAAGGCCUUCGGGUUGUAAAGCUCUUUUGUCCGGGAAGAAACGUUUUUGGCUAAUAACCAAGACUACUGACGGUACCGGAAGAAUAAGGACCGGCUAACUACGUGCCAGCAGCCGCCGUAA